UUCCUACGGGAGGCAGCAGUGAGGAAUAUUGGACAAUGGAGGCAACUCUGAUCCAGCCAUGCCGCGUGCAGGAUGACUGCCCUAUGGGUUGUAAACUGCUUUUAUACAGGAAGAAACACUGGUACGUGUACCAGCUUGACGGUACUGUAAGAAUAAGCACCGGCUAACUCCGUGCCAGCAGCCGCGGUAAUACGGAGGGUGCAAGCGUUAUCCGGAAUCAUUGGGUUUAAAGGGUCCGUAGGUGGACUGAUAAGUCAGAGGUGAAACCCCGCAGCUUAACUGUGGAACUGCCUUUGAUACUGUUAGUCUUGAAUUAUUGUGAAGUGGUUAGAAUAUGUAGUGUAGCGGUGAAAUGCUUAGAGAUUACAUGGAAUACCGAUUGCGAAGGCAGAUCACUAACAAUAUAUUGACACUGAUGGACGAAAGCGUGGGGAGCGAACGGGAUUAGAUACCCCGGUAGUCCACGCCGUAAACGAUGGAUACUAGCUGUUCGGAAUUUAUUCUGAGUGGCUAAGCGAAAGUGAUAAGUAUCCCACCUGGGGAGUACGUUCGCAAGAAUGAAACUCAAAUGAAUUGACGGAA
This 582-nucleotide ribosomal RNA is filed under the name uncultured Flavobacteriaceae bacterium. RNAcentral's name for it is "bacterial SSU rRNA". It matches the Rfam family "Bacterial small subunit ribosomal RNA", at positions 336 to 918 of the family's 1533-position model. Lineage: Bacteria; Pseudomonadati; Bacteroidota; Flavobacteriia; Flavobacteriales; Flavobacteriaceae. The record is from RNAcentral.